Molecule: ribosomal RNA, 406 nt
Filed under: uncultured bacterium
Lineage: Bacteria
Description: partial 16S ribosomal RNA
Rfam family: Bacterial small subunit ribosomal RNA
Source: RNAcentral
AUUGAACGCUGGCGGCAGGCCUUACACAUGCAAGUCGGACGAGUGGCGAACGGGUGAGUAACGUAUCGGAACGUACCGAGUAGGGGGGGAUAACUGUCCGAAAGGAUAGCUAAUACCGCAUACUAUCGGAGCGGCCGAUGUCGGAUUAGCUGGUUGGUGGGGUAAAGGCCCACCCAGGCGACGAUCCGUAGCGGGUCUGAGAGGAUGAACGGCCACAUUGGGACUGAGACACGGCCCAGACUCCUACGGGAGGCAGCAGUGGGGAAUUUUGCACAAUGGGCGCAAGCCUGAUCCAGCCAUGCCGCGUGUCUGAAGAAGGCCUUCGGGUUGUAAAGUACUUUUGUCAGGGAAGCGGUACCUGAAGAAUAAGCACCGGCUAACUACGUGCCAGCAGCCGCGGUAAUAC